Molecule: ribosomal RNA, 253 nt
Filed under: uncultured bacterium
Lineage: Bacteria
Description: partial 16S ribosomal RNA
Rfam family: Bacterial small subunit ribosomal RNA
Source: RNAcentral
UACGUAGGGGGCAAGCGUUGUCCGGAAUCAUUGGGCGUAAAGAGCGUGUAGGCGGUUUGGUAGGUCCGCUGUGAAAACUCGAGGCUCAACCUCGAGACGCCGGUGGAAACCAUCAGACUAGAGUCCGGAAGAGGAGAGUGGAAUUCCUGGUGUAGCGGUGAAAUGCGCAGAUAUCAGGAAGAACACCCGUGGCUAAGGCGGCUCUCUAGUACGGUACUGACGCUGAGACGCGAAAGCGUGGGGAGCGAACAGG